AUUGAACGCUGGCGGCAUGCCUUACACAUGCAAGUCGAACGGCAGCACGGGAGCUUGCUCCUGGUGGCGAGUGGCGAACGGGUGAGUAAAGCAUCGGAACGUGCCCUGAAGUGGGGGAUAACGUAGCGAAAGUUACGCUAAUACCGCAUAUUCUGUGAGCAGGAAAGCAGGGGACCGCAAGGCCUUGUGCUUUAGGAGCGGCCGAUGUCGGAUUAGCUAGUUGGUGAGGUAAAGGCUCACCAAGGCGACGAUCCGUAGCGGGUCUGAGAGGAUGAUCCGCCACACUGGGACUGAGACACGGCCCAGACUCCUACGGGAGGCAGCAGUGGGGAAUUUUGGACAAUGGGCGCAAGCCUGAUCCAGCCAUGCCGCGUGAGUGAAGAAGGCCUCGGUUGUAA
RNAcentral lists this ribosomal RNA (398 nucleotides) under uncultured bacterium. Its description in RNAcentral is "bacterial SSU rRNA". It matches the Rfam family "Bacterial small subunit ribosomal RNA", at positions 30 to 428 of the family's 1533-position model. The record is from RNAcentral.